UUAAGCGUGUAGGUGUGUGUUCCAGGUAAAUCCGGUUCACUUUAACACUGAGGCGUGAUGACGAGGCACUACGGUGCUGAAGCAACAAAUGCCCUGCUUCCAGGAAAAGCCUCUAAGCAUCAGGUAACAUCAAAUCGUACCCCAAACCGACACAGGUGGUCAGGUAGAGAAUACCAAGGCGCUUGAGAGAACUCGGGUGAAGGAACUAGGCAAAAUGGUGCCGUAACUUCGGGAGAAGGCACGCUGACAUGUAGGUGAAGUGAUUUACUCAUGGAGCUGAAGUCAGUCGAAGAUACCAGCUGGCUGCAACUGUUUAUUAAAAACACAGCACUGUGCAAACACGAAAGUGGACGUAUACGGUGUGACGCCUGCCCGGUGCCGGAAGGUUAAUUGAUGGGGUCAGCGCAAGCGAAGCUCCUGAUCGAAGCCCCGGUAAACGGCGGCCGUAACUAUAACGGUCCUAAGGUAGCGAAAUUCCUUGUCGGGUAAGUUCCGACCUGCACGAAUGGCGUAAUGAUGGCCAGGCUGUCUCCACCCGAGACUCAGUGAAAUUGAACUCGCUGUGAAGAUGCAGUGUACCCGCGGCAAGACGGAAAGACCCCGUGAACCUUUACUAUAGCUUGACACUGAACAUUGAGCCUUGAUGUGUAGGAUAGGUGGGAGGCUUUGAAGYGUGGACGCCAGUCUGCRUGGAGCCGACCUUGAAAUACCACCCUUUAAUGUUUGAUGUUCUAACGUGGACCCGURAUCCGGGUUGCGGACAGUGUCUGGUGGGUAGUUUGACUGGGGCGGUCUCCUCCUAAAGAGUAACGGAGGAGCACGAAGGUUGGCUAAUCCUGGUCGGACAUCAGGAGGUUAGUGCAAUGGCAUAAGCCAGCUUGACUGCGAGCGUGACGGCGCGAGCAGGUGCGAAAGCAGGUCAUAGUGAUCCGGUGGUUCUGAAUGGAAGGGCCAUCGCUCAACGGAUAAAAGGUACUCCGGGGAUAACAGGCUGAUACCGCCCAAGAGUUCAUAUCGACGGCGGUGUUUGGCACCUCGAUGUCGGCUCAUCACAUCCUGGGGCUGAAGUAGGUCCCAAGGGUAUGGCUGUUCGCCAUUUAAAGUGGUACGCGAGCUGGGUUUAGAACGUCGUGAGACAGUUCGGUCCCUAUCUGCCGUGGGCGCUGGAGAACUGAGGGGGGCUGCUCCUAGUACGAGAGGACCGGAGUGGACGCAUCACUGGUGUUCGGGUUGUCAUGCCAAUGGCACUGCCCGGUAGCUAAAUGCGGAAGAGAUAAGUGCUGAAAGCAUCUAAGCACGAAACUUGCCCCGAGAUGAGUUCUCCCUGAGACUUAGAGUCUCCUGAAGGAACGUUGAAGACGACGACGUUGAUAGGCCGGGUGUGUAAGCGCAGCGAUGCGUUGAGCUAACCGGUACUAAUGAACCGUGAGGCUUAACCUUACAACGCCGAAG
Molecule: ribosomal RNA, 1452 nt
Filed under: Salmonella enterica subsp. enterica serovar Infantis
Lineage: Bacteria; Pseudomonadati; Pseudomonadota; Gammaproteobacteria; Enterobacterales; Enterobacteriaceae
Description: partial 23S ribosomal RNA
Source: RNAcentral